CCUACGGGAGGCAGCAGUAGGGAAUCUUCCGCAAUGGACGAAAGUCUGACGGAGCAACGCCGCGUGAACGAUGAAGGCCUUCGGGUCGUAAAGUUCUGUUGUUAGGGAAGAACAAGUGCUAGUUGAAUAAGCUGGCACCUUGACGGUACCUAACCAGAAAGCCACGGCUAACUACGUGCCAGCAGCCGCGGUAAUACGUAGGUGGCAAGCGUUGUCCGGAAUUAUUGGGCGUAAAGCGCGCGCAGGCGGUUUCUUAAGUCUGAUGUGAAAGCCCCCGGCUCAACCGGGGAGGGUCAUUGGAAACUGGGAAACUUGAGUGCAGAAGAGGAAAGUGGAAUUCCAAGUGUAGCGGUGAAAUGCGUAGAGAUUUGGAGGAACACCAGUGGCGAAGGCGACUUUCUGGUCUGUAACUGACGCUGAGGCGCGAAAGCGUGGGGAGCAAACAGGAUUAGAUACCCUGGUAGCCCACGCUGUAAACGAUGAGUGCUAAGUGUUAGAGGGUUUCCGCCCUUUAGUGCUGAAGUUAACGCAUUAAGCACUCCGCCUGGGGAGUACGGUCGCAAGACUGAAACUUAAGGAAUUGACGG
RNAcentral lists this ribosomal RNA (587 nucleotides) under uncultured bacterium. Its description in RNAcentral is "bacterial SSU rRNA". It matches the Rfam family "Bacterial small subunit ribosomal RNA", at positions 338 to 916 of the family's 1533-position model. The record is from RNAcentral.